RNAcentral lists this unclassified non-coding RNA (230 nucleotides) under Hevea brasiliensis (rubber tree). Lineage: Eukaryota; Viridiplantae; Streptophyta; Magnoliopsida; Malpighiales; Euphorbiaceae. The record is from RNAcentral.
CAGGUAUUUGACAUGAACAAAUAACAGGAAUGAAAAAUGUGGUAGAUGCGUAUAUUUGCAAAGAACCUUCUUUCAACAAAUGGCAAUAAGCAUUUAUGGAAAUAUGCCACUCCACCAAUGGCAUUGAAAAUGCUUACAAUGCUGGGUCAGUAGAUACGCACAGUCUUCCCUUGCACAAGCUUUAUGACUUACGAACGGCUUACUAGAAAAAAGCUUUUUCCCACUGCUUG